This 520-nucleotide ribosomal RNA is filed under the name uncultured bacterium. RNAcentral describes it as "partial 16S ribosomal RNA". It matches the Rfam family "Bacterial small subunit ribosomal RNA", at positions 355 to 868 of the family's 1533-position model. The record is from RNAcentral.
UGGGGAAUUUUGGACAAUGGGCGAAAGCCUGAUCCAGCAAUGCCGCGUGUGUGAAGAAGGCCUUCGGGUUGUAAAGCACUUUUGUCCGGAAAGAAAUCCUUGGCUCUAAUACAGUCGGGGGAUGACGGUACCGGAAGAAUAAGCACCGGCUAACUACGUGCCAGCAGCCGCGGUAAUACGUAGGGUGCAAGCGUUAAUCGGAAUUACUGGGCGUAAAGCGUGCGCAGGCGGUUUGCUAAGACCGAUGUGAAAUCCCCGGGCUCAACCUGGGAACUGCAUUGGUGACUGGCAGGCUAGAGUAUGGCAGAGGGGGGUAGAAUUCCACGUGUAGCAGUGAAAUGCGUAGAGAUGUGGAGGAAUACCGAUGGCGAAGGCAGCCCCCUGGGCCAAUACUGACGCUCAUGCACGAAAGCGUGGGGAGCAAACAGGAUUAGAUACCCUGGUAGUCCACGCCCUAAACGAUGUCAACUAGUUGUUGGGGAUUCAUUUCCUUAGUAACGUAGCUAACGCGUGAAGUUGA